Molecule: long non-coding RNA, 5849 nt
Organism: Girardinichthys multiradiatus
Lineage: Eukaryota; Metazoa; Chordata; Actinopteri; Cyprinodontiformes; Goodeidae
Exons: 2
Source: RefSeq, a predicted model, not a curated record
CUAUGACUGGAAGCGAUGUCUCUCCCUCUUAGUGUACACUCCAGCUAUCUCUCUCUGUCUCUCGGAUGGAGUUAUGCCUCUCACUCUUAUGAAGCGCUGCGCUAUCCCUGUCUGUAGAUGCUCCCUUUCCAAGUCAAAGAGUAGGACUGGAAACGCUGCACCGAAACAACUCAUCUUUUUCUUCUAACAGCUUCUGACACAUUUUCCGGCUGUGAGCGGGGCUUUCAUGGAUUCCCCAUACAAUGGCAAUGCGUCCUUGCAGACGUCCACAUCCAACCUCAACGCCAGUUACUCACGACCCUCAGAAGUUGAGGAUGAUGGGAAAGUGUCCAGUGACACCAUUUGGCUGUGGAUUGCUGUGCUGGCGACCAUUGGCAAUAUAGUGGUGGUGGCUGUGGUGUGUGCCUGUGCCUUCUGAUACAGAAGAGGAGCUGGGCAGGAACAUGACUGCCAUCAGACUUUGGUUUUCCCUUUUUUUCCUGGGUUAAAAUGAAAAACAAAAACUCUAUUGAUAAAUCAACACAAUCAUUGAUUAGUUUAAUGGUUAUUUUUUAGAUAUGUAGGGAAGCUUUUCAUGACAAUAUCAAUCCCUUUUAAAACAAACUGCAAAGUAGGAAACUCAAGCAAGGAGAUGAAAAUGAAAUAUUGUCUUAUUUAAAUAAGCUAUGAAGUAAAAAUGGCUAAGGUACACCUUCUACAAAGCUAUAAAGUGCAAUAACUAGAAAUAUACAAAAUUAAGCAGAAAACAUCAACACAAUCAACAAUUGCCUUUUAUGUUUACAGAAUUUUUUUAAUCUUCAUAUAAAUUGCUUUAAAUGUAUGCUUUAAAUUCUCACAUUGACUUCUUCUGUGACCCAAACUAUCUUCUUCAUUUGCUUCUAAUUUGUGACUUUCAUCCUUUCAGUUUCAAGAAUGUAGAAGUACAUUAACAUUAGCUGCUAUGAUUAGCUAUGUAGACAUUGGUUAGUUUGUGUAUAACCUAUUACAUUCAUUUUUAAAGAACAAUAAAAUAAACUCAGUUGAAAGUAUGUGUUUCUCUACAAAUGGUUUAGACUGUAUUCAGAAGAACAUGUCUCUAGGUCUGCCCUUUAAAAACGUUAACUGGGUUGCUUAAAUGUCUCUUCCAGUUUCCACAUGAACUGUGUAUUAACUUUUUUUAAUGAGCAAAAGGCCCAGAGCAAAUACCUGCAUGUGUUUCACUUUGUUUUAGAUACCAGGCUGAAACCAAAAUACGACCUCAGAAUAAAAGCAUCAUGCCUGCUGUUGAUAAUGUAAACUGGGCCACAAUCAUAUAAACCUAUGGUGUAUAAGCUCAAUACAUUGCUGAUUACAAGCUUAGCAGUUGACAGGAUUAGACCAGUUCAUAACUUGAUCUCUUAGUGGAUUCAGAAAACAAGGGCAUCAGCCAGUCCCUACAAUUAAAUACAGUUUUAAAAGCAGGGGUUAAAAAUUCAGUUAGUGACAAUGCUUCAUCACAACUUUAAAGUAUAAACUGCUUUUUCCAUGCAGUUGUUUUACUUCCUUUUGUUUUGUUUUGCACACUUGGGUUGGUUGAGUUUAAAAUGAUUGCUGCUCGUCAUUUUCCUGCAGUGGCACAAUGACCUUACAUUGCAGAAAAUCCUGAUCCCAUCAGCCGCACAGCUUGAGUAUCUGUCAUGUUUCUGUUUCCUGCAGUGUUGCAUGCCAUUUAUUUUAUAAUGUCAUUGUUGCUGCAAUGAGCUCUGCUGUAUUUUCCCCAACUGGACUGGAGCUGCUUGUUGUUUUUGGGGUUUUGAGUAAGAAUUACAUUGCUGUUUAAAAAGAAAAAUCAGAAAAAUAUGACAUUUGAAAUCUAUGUGGUAUGUUUGAUGUUAGUAAAGGAGCAACUGAACAAUUCCACUGGGAUCUCUAUAAUGUUAAAAGAAUUACAGUGAUUUGGAAAAACAUGUGCUCCCUUACACAUUAAGUCACAUAUAAAUGUUUCAGAUCUUUAAAAAAGAAAAAAAACACCGAGGGCAAAAAUUCCUACACAGUGAUCUAUACUCAUUGCCAGACAUUGCAAAGGCUUGAUGGCCAUUGUGGCUGAGAUGGUGCAUGCAGUUUUUAGGUUUAGGGAGCAAUAACCUUUUCAGACAUUGAUUUGGACAUAUUUUUGCCUAAAUAAAUUAAUUCAUCUUUUGUAUUUACUCAUUUUAUCUUUGUAUGAUUUUAAAAUUUGUUUUAUCUAAAACAGGUUUCACAAUAAAGGCAAAAACAGACAAAAUAUGCAAGGGAAGAAUAUUUUGUUACAAUAUUAAACAUCCAACAAUAAAGAAAAAUAACUUAUUCCCUUUUCCAUAAUUUUAACUAAGAGCUGAUAAUUUAAUUUCAGUACUUCACAAGUCAAUGUUGCUUUAUUCAAUAUAAUCAUUGAACAAUGGUUGCAAAAGUCAGUUUUUCCAAUGAUUUGCUGUAGCUGCAGCCUAUUUUAUUUUCUAUUACUCAGUGCCUCAGUAAAGUAAAAUUUUUUUCCAGUAGCCAUUAUCUUCCAGACUAACUUAAAAGUUCAGCUGACACACCUUGCCUAAAAGGAAACUAAGGUCCAAUUUAAAAAGCCCAAAUUAUCCAAAAGCAUUUUCCAAAGACACAGGGCUCAAUUGAGCAGUGACUUGUUGAAAUUUAACAAGCAAGAGAAGGGUCACACCAGGGGCGGUUCUCUUUGUAAGGGUUACUUUAUCCUUCCUUAUUAGAAUAAACGGAUCAUUAAAACUUGUGUUAUUACUUGCAUUCAGUUUCUGUCCAGAUCAUUGAGAUUAUUAAUGAGGACAUUCAUUUUCAAACAGCCAAUGGGGAAGAAUAAAUGGAAGAAGACACCGAAGCAGAGAGAGGUGGUGGUGACAUGAGAAUAAUGAGGCAAGAUUAAGUCAGAGGAUAUCUAAAUGCAAUAGGAGAUCAUUUAAAACUCUGCUCUGGUAAUCAGAUGAACUAUUGUUUCAAGAAGAACUUUGUCUCCAGUAAGCCAGGGAAACCAUCAGAGGUACAUGAAUGUUGCCGGAUCAUUUGCUUAGAGACACUAAGAUGAGCCAAGCCAGUGGUUACACGAAUCUGAUUUAAUAUAAAAUGUUCCCAGAGAAACAAAAUCAUGACAUUUAACUCAGAUCUGAUCCAAAUGUUCUGUUCAAGCCAUCAGCAGUGAACUGGGACCACCACUGAAAAAACAACACAACAAUUUAUUUCAUUAUUGUAAAAAGUUUGUGCUAGAAAGAAAAGGAAAGGCAUACACUUUUUACACUUUUUCUGUCAAACAUUACCAAAAUAUUUAAACUGAGUACCUUUAACAAGGAUGUAUAUUUGUUUUAUUUAACACAUCAAAGUAUUUCCCCUUCACUGUGAACAGCUUUCUGUUGCUCAUCUGGGACUAAUGAGCUGUAAACUACCACUAGAGAAUCCCAUCCAUAUUUUGUCACGUCCUCAUAUGAAUGUGCAAUACAAACAAGAAGUUUAUAGACUGCAUUGUGGUUAACGACUUUAAAGAGAAAUAUAAUGUUUUUUAAUCAUUCCUUUUCACACUAAAACCAUUCAGUUGUGGUCUAUAUAAAGUGGAACUGCAAUGCUUUGGUCCGAAUUUCUUGGUAUUGUAUCUCCACAGGCCCUUUUUUAACCCUGUUCUGAGGUGAGUCUGAGAGCAACUUGUUUUGGUGCCAUCUCUUUAAAUGCUGUUGAGCCAGUUCACCUCCCACACCCCUCAAAGAGUGCUCCACUCCACCCUGUUCGGCCAUUUUUGUAGCUUGAUAGCAUAGAUACAAUUAUCUAGCACCACAGAAACAAGACAAAAUUGGCAAAAACAAUGCAAAACUGUUGAUGUAAGAAUAAUAUUCAAAACACGCAGUACGUUAUGUCCUCAAAGAGCUAAAAGCACUAAGUUUGUUGUCAUUUUAGCUUUAUUUGAAGCUUACCGCUUUGCUGUGUUUGUCGUUUCUAUAGACAGAAGGAAUUGACCCCUUAAUCAGAUGACGUCUUUCGGCAAAUAAUUGAUGAUACUGGUGGAGGUAACUGAAGAACACAUCCUUGAAGUGCUUAUUGCAGACGAAGAGCAAUUUCCCCACUGUUGUAGGUGCAUUUCAAAGAAAAAUAAAAUUUAACCAGGCACUUUGAAGAAAUUCUGAUGCUGGGGGAUGGUGUAUUGAAUUGUGUGGGUUAAUACACCCCAAAACUGAAUAUUUUAACUAAUCCACUUGUGAUGUGUGAACUAUUACACUGUGAUGUAAUAGUUCAAAAAAUGUUUUAGAGAAUAGAGAAAACUGAAAAAUAUGAGUCAAACAGCAUAAAAAGAUAUCUACGCAGCACCUGGAGGGACUAAGUUAAACCUUUCUGCACUCCUACAGACUCCAAGUAUGCAACAAAAUGUAUUUAAGGACUAAAAAAGUGGAUUUUGCAUGAUAUGUCCCCUUCAAGAGGAGAAAUUUAGAAGUACAAUUUUGUUAUAGGAGUCAAAACCCAAGUACAACAGAACAGAAGCACACUAAUCAGUGCCACUGAGAACAUUAAUAAUUGGAGGCAAAGGAUAUGAUUAAUGUCCACCCUAUAACAAAAAGAGUUGGAAAAAACAGAAAACUACCAAAACAGGAGGCAUUCAUCCUAUCUGCACAAUGAGCGGUGUGUGAAAGACAUCAGAUGAAAGGGGAAAAACAAUUCUCAAGAAAGAUGAUGAAUUAGAAGAGACAGGAAGAAUAAAAGAGGUGGUGUGAGGUGGAGGAUGUCUGAAGGAAAUUUGUCAUCGCAGAGCACUGUUCGUCGGGAUGACAGGGAAGGAAAUUGAAACAGUUGUAAUUUGAACUUUUAAUAGACAAUGUGCAAAACAAGGAGGGAAGAAAAGGACACAAACAGACAUAAAAAAGCAAAGAGUAAAUAAUGUUGCAUAUAAUGAGUGCCAACUGGCUGUCGGCCUUUUUUCAUGUAGGUCAUUUUAAUUGUUCUGUCAACACGAGUGAGCAAAUGGUUAUUUAGGGUUUCAAAAUAUAGUUGAAUCCUUAAUUCCUCAACAUUUUCACAAAAUGUUGAUAACAUAAGAAAUUAUGUAAAGCAUCGAGGGUUCGUUAUUACUCUGUAAAUCAAAUAUAUAUUGUAACACUUUAUAAACAGGUUAGAAGGAGAACAUCUGUGGACAGUUGCAUUGCCACAGAUUCUCAAUUGGAUUAAGAUCUGGACUUUGACUGGGCCAUUCUAAUACAUGCAUAUGUUUUGACAUAAACCAUUUAAUUUCAUAGCUCUUUCUGUAUGUUUAGAGUUGUUGUCCUGCUGAAAGAUGAACCUCCACCCCUAGCUCAAGUAUUUUGCCUUUAACAGGUUUUCUUCGAGGACUGCCCUUAGCUUCAUCCAUCUUUAAAUUAACUCCUACCAUGUUCUCUGUCUCUGCUGAGGUAAAGCAUUGUGCUGCAUGAUGAUCUUUCUUUUAUGUUUGCCUUUUCCUUUACAUGAUUUCUUGCAAAUUGUAAAUUAAUAGGAAAACAAUGUCAUUUUCCUGUCACUCAUUCAUAAAGUCUAGAUGUGUUUAUAGCAGGACUACAGUUUUUCUGUCCUCAUAGCUGUGGAUUUCUGCUGCUCCUCCAGAGUUAGUCUUAGCUACUUAUCUGAUUAAUGCUUCCCUUGACUGGUCAUUUAGUACAGGUGGACAGCCAUAUCUUGGUAGGUUUGUUGUGCCAUAGUCUUCCUAUAUUUACAUGAUGGAUUUAACAGAGCACCAUGACAUACUCAAUAUUUGUGGUAUUCUUUUCUAACCCAACCCUGCUUUAAACUUCUCCAAAACUUCCCCCCUAAUCUGUCUGCUGUGGUUCUCAUUUUUCUGUGCUAUUUGUUCUGUAAUGUUCUCUAAUAAACCUUAGAAGCUUUCA